UACGUAGGUGACAAGCGUUGUCCGGAUUUACUGGGCGUAAAGAGCGCGCAGGCGGUCGUUCAAGUCGAGUGUGAAAGCCCCCGGCUCAACUGGGGAGGGUCAUUCGAUACUGAUCGACUCGAAGGCAGGAGAGGGAAGUGGAAUUCCCGGUGUAGUGGUGAAAUGCGUAGAGAUCGGGAGGAACACCCGUGGCGAAGGCGGCCAACUGGGCCGACCCUGACGCUGAGGCGCGAAGGCGUGGGGAGCGAACGGG
This 253-nucleotide ribosomal RNA is filed under the name uncultured bacterium. RNAcentral describes it as "partial 16S ribosomal RNA". It matches the Rfam family "Bacterial small subunit ribosomal RNA", at positions 524 to 776 of the family's 1533-position model. The record is from RNAcentral.